RNAcentral lists this ribosomal RNA (431 nucleotides) under uncultured Ruminococcus sp. RNAcentral's name for it is "bacterial SSU rRNA". It matches the Rfam family "Bacterial small subunit ribosomal RNA", at positions 341 to 792 of the family's 1533-position model. Lineage: Bacteria; Bacillati; Bacillota; Clostridia; Eubacteriales; Oscillospiraceae. The record is from RNAcentral.
ACGGAAGGCAGCAGUGGGGAAUAUUGCACAAUGGGGGAAACCCUGAUGCAGCGACGCCGCGUGAGUGAAGAAGUAUUUCGGUAUGUAAAGCUCUAUCAGCAGGGAAGAAAGUGACGGUACCUGACUAAGAAGCUCCGGCUAACUACGUGCUAGCAGCCGCGGUAAUACGUAGGGAGCAAGCGUUAUCCGGAAUUACUGGGUGUAAAGGGAGUGUAGGCGGGACUGUAAGUCAGAUGUGAAAUAUGCCGGCUCAACUGGCAGACUGCAUUUGAAACUGCGGUUCUGGAGUGAAGUAGAGGUAAGCGGAAUUCCUAGAGCGGUGAAAUGCGUAGAUAUUAGGAGGAACAUCAGUGGCGAAGGCGGCUUACUGGGCUUUAACUGACGCUGAGGUUCGAAAGCGUGGGGAGCAAACAGGAUUAGAUACCCUGGUA